Molecule: ribosomal RNA, 741 nt
Filed under: Glutamicibacter sp.
Lineage: Bacteria; Bacillati; Actinomycetota; Actinomycetes; Micrococcales; Micrococcaceae
Description: bacterial SSU rRNA
Rfam family: Bacterial small subunit ribosomal RNA
Source: RNAcentral
UGGUGCUUGCACUGGUGGAUUAGUCGGCGAACGGGUGAGUAACACGUGAGUAACCUGCCCCUGACUUCGGGAUAAGCCCGGGAAACUGGGUCUAAUACCGGAUAUGACUUCCUGCUGCAUGGCAGGGGGUGGAAAGAUUUAUCGGUUGGGGAUGGACUCGCGGCCUAUCAGCUUGUUGGUGAGGUAAUGGCUCACCAAGGCGACGACGGGUAGCCGGCCUGAGAGGGUGACCGGCCACACUGGGACUGAGACACGGCCCAGACUCCUACGGGAGGCAGCAGUGGGGAAUAUUGCACAAUGGGCGAAAGCCUGAUGCAGCGACGCCGCGUGAGGGAUGACGGCCUUCGGGUUGUAAACCUCUUUCAGUAGGGAAGAAGCCCCUUUUUGGGGUGACGGUACUUGCAGAAGAAGCGCCGGCUAACUACGUGCCAGCAGCCGCGGUAAUACGUAGGGCGCAAGCGUUAUCCGGAAUUAUUGGGCGUAAAGAGCUCGUAGGCGGUUUGUCGCGUCUGCCGUGAAAGUCCGAGGCUCAACCUCGGAUCUGCGGUGGGUACGGGCAGACUAGAGUGAUGUAGGGGAGACUGGAAUUCCUGGUGUAGCGGUGAAAUGCGCAGAUAUCAGGAGGAACACCGAUGGCGAAGGCAGGUCUCUGGGCAUUUACUGACGCUGAGGAGCGAAAGCAUGGGGAGCGAACAGGAUUAGAUACCCUGGUAGUCCAUGCCGUAAACGUUGAGCACUAGG